CAAGGGUUUGCAACGGUACUGCGCGUUACGUAAAUUCGGUAUAACCCUGUCCAAGGAUCCUCAUUUUUGACUUAACGUGGUCGGAGCUGCUACCAGUCAAGGUUGUGAAAUGGUGGGCACACGACGCGGGGACGUCGAGAUAUCCGAUUUUUGCUAGCUGAGCUGCACUUCAGGAUCAUCUGGAGCACCAAGAAGAGGCC
This is a long non-coding RNA of Scleropages formosus (Asian bonytongue), 200 nucleotides long. RefSeq lists it as uncharacterized. The record is from RefSeq and is a predicted model, not a curated record. NCBI's taxonomy places the organism in Eukaryota, Metazoa, Chordata, Actinopteri, Osteoglossiformes, Osteoglossidae. The transcript is spliced from 3 exons.